RNAcentral lists this ribosomal RNA (407 nucleotides) under uncultured bacterium. RNAcentral describes it as "partial 16S ribosomal RNA". It matches the Rfam family "Bacterial small subunit ribosomal RNA", at positions 28 to 526 of the family's 1533-position model. The record is from RNAcentral.
GACGAACGCUGGCGGCGUGCCUAAUACAUGCAAGUAGGACGCAGUUGCGAACGGGUGAGUAACGCGUAGGUAACUACCUAUUAGAGGGGGAUAACAAUUGGAAACGAUAGCUAAUACCGCAUACUAGUAGAUGGACCUGCGUUGUAUUAGCUAGUAGGUAGGGUAAUGGCCUACCUAGGUAACGAUACAUAGGCGACCUGGAAGGGUGAACGGGCAAAAUGGGACUGGAGCACGGGCCAGACUCCUACGGGGUGGAGGAGUAGGGAAACUUCGGAAAAUGGGGGAACCCUGACCGAGCAACGCCGCGGGAGUGGAGAAGGUUUUCGGAUCGUAAAGCUCUGUUGUUAAGGAAGCGGUACUUGACCAGGAAGUGACGGCUAACUACGUGCCAGCCGCCGCGGUAAUAC